Molecule: ribosomal RNA, 89 nt
Filed under: Theobroma microcarpum
Lineage: Eukaryota; Viridiplantae; Streptophyta; Magnoliopsida; Malvales; Malvaceae
Description: partial 5.8S ribosomal RNA
Rfam family: 5.8S ribosomal RNA
About the family: 5.8S ribosomal RNA (5.8S rRNA) is a component of the large subunit of the eukaryotic ribosome. It is transcribed by RNA polymerase I as part of the 45S precursor that also contains 18S and 28S rRNA.
Source: RNAcentral
GCAUCGAUGAAGAACGUAGCGAAAUGCGAUAAGUAAUGUGAAUUGCAGAAUUUUGUGAAUCAUCGAAUCUUUGAACGCACAUUGCGCCC